This 717-nucleotide ribosomal RNA is filed under the name uncultured Burkholderia sp. RNAcentral describes it as "bacterial SSU rRNA". It matches the Rfam family "Bacterial small subunit ribosomal RNA", at positions 9 to 718 of the family's 1533-position model. The record is from RNAcentral. Lineage: Bacteria; Pseudomonadati; Pseudomonadota; Betaproteobacteria; Burkholderiales; Burkholderiaceae.
GAGUUUGAUCCUGGCUCAGAUUGAACGCUGGCGGCAUGCCUUACACAUGCAAGUCGAACGGCAGCACGGGUGCUUGCACCUGGUGGCGAGUGGCGAACGGGUGAGUAAUACAUCGGAACAUGUCCUGUAGUGGGGGAUAGCCCGGCGAAAGCCGGAUUAAUACCGCAUACGAUCUGAGGAUGAAAGCGGGGGACCUUCGGGCCUCGCGCUAUAGGGUUGGCCGAUGGCUGAUUAGCUAGUUGGUGGGGUAAAGGCCUACCAAGGCGACGAUCAGUAGCUGGUCUGAGAGGACGACCAGCCACACUGGGACUGAGACACGGCCCAGACUCCUACGGGAGGCAGCAGUGGGGAAUUUUGGACAAUGGGCGAAAGCCUGAUCCAGCAAUGCCGCGUGUGUGAAGAAGGCCUUCGGGUUGUAAAGCACUUUUGUCCGGAAAGAAAUCCUUGGUUCUAAUAUAGCCGGGGGAUGACGGUACCGGAAGAAUAAGCACCGGCUAACUACGUGCCAGCAGCCGCGGUAAUACGUAGGGUGCAAGCGUUAAUCGGAAUUACUGGGCGUAAAGCGUGCGCAGGCGGUUUGCUAAGACCGAUGUGAAAUCCCCGGGCUCAACCUGGGAACUGCAUUGGUGACUGGCAGGCUAGAGUAUGGCAGANGGGGGGUAGAAUUCCACGUGUAGCAGUGAAAUGCGUAGAGAUGUGGANGAAUACCGAUGGCGA